This 5288-nucleotide long non-coding RNA is filed under the name Sus scrofa (pig). Its description in RNAcentral is "lncRNA (ENSSSCG00045003510.1)". Lineage: Eukaryota; Metazoa; Chordata; Mammalia; Artiodactyla; Suidae. The record is from RNAcentral.
GCAGGUGGUGCGGAGAAGAAAGUUUAAAGAGGUGCGUGGAUAAGCUCCGUAUAUUUAUGCCCAUAAAAUUGUGGAAGAAAAUACAAUAAAUGUUUGGUAGAGGUUGUCUCUGAGUGGUAAUUAUGUUAUUUUUAUUUUUGUCUUAGAUUUUUCCACAAUGAACAUUUAUUUUCAUAAGAACAAAAAAAGACAAAAGUAAAAAUAACUAAUGCUUAUAUAACAUUUACUCUGCGCCAGGUGUUGCAAAAUGCUUUUGUUGUUGGCUGCAGCGUGCAGCGGCUUGAUGUGGGAUCUCAGUUCGCAGACCAGUAGCAGUGAAGCUCUGAGUCCUGACUGCUGUACCACCAGGGAACUCCCGAUAUAUUAACUGAUUUAAUUCUCACGCAGUCCUAGCAGAAAGUAUCAGUACUCUCAUCAUUUUAUAGAUGAAGAAAGUGAGGCACAGAAAGGUUCCCAAGGUCCCAGAGCCAGUUAAUUACAGAGCCAAGAUGAUAACUGAGACCAUGGCUCCAGAGUCCUUAGGAAAGUAGGUCUCACAGCUUAUCAGGAACUUUUCCUCUCUUUUCUCCUUGUGGAAAAACAGAUUCUUAAAGUUCCCUAAACACCACCUCCUACAUGAAGUCUUCCUGGUCUACCCAUCUUCCUUCAUAGCUGUUAGCUCCUUCCAUGUCAGUACUUCCUUUUUGCAACUGAGUUGCAGUUUGUGCCACACAAGUAGGUUAAGUUGAUUUUGUGUGUGUGUGUGCCAUUUUAACUAUUUUUAAGCAUGCAGUUCAUUGUCAUUAACUACAUUCACAAUGUUGCGCAACCAUCACUGCUGUAUGUUUCCAAAACUUUUUCAUGAGUGCAAGCAGAAACCCUGUUAACUAUUAAGCAAUAACUCCCCAUUCUUCUUUCUCCCCAUUCCUUGGUAACCCCUAACUUACUUUCCGUCUCUAUGGAUUUGCCUGUUCUAGAUAUUUCAUGUCAGCUGAAUUUUACAGUAUAUGUCCUUUUGUGUCUGGCUUAUACUUAGCAUAGUGUUUUCAAAGUUCAUCCAUGUUGUAUGUGUCAGAAAUUCAUUAUGGCUGAUUAAUGUUCUGUUGCAUGGAUAUACCACAUUUUGUUUAUCCAUUCAUCCGUCAAUAAACACUUGGGGAGUUCCCGUUGCAGCUCAGCGAUAAUGAACCCAACUAGUAUCCACGAGGAUCAGGGUUCAAUCCCUGGCCCCGCUCAGUGGGUUAAGGAUCUGGUGUUGCCGAGAGUUUCAGUAUAGGUUGAAGACGUGGCUCAGAGCCUGAGACAUGGGUCAGAUGCUGUGGCUGUGACCUGCAUCUGCAGCUCCAAUUCGACCCUUAGCCUGGGAACUUCCAUAUACUGCAGGUGCAGCCCUAAAAAGGAAAAAAAGACCAACAAGAAAAACCACUUGGGUUGUUUCUACCUUUUGGCUAAUGUAGAUAAUGCUGUAAAGAACACUGGCAUUUAGUGAUCUAUUUUGAGUUCCUCUUUUUUGUUUGUUUGUUUUUGUUUUUUGUCUUUUUGCCUUUUCUAUAGGGCUGUUCCCGCGGCAUAUGGAGGUUCCCAGGCUGGUGGCUACAGCUCCCACUCGAUCCCUAGCUUGGGAACCUCCAUAUGCCGCGGGAGCAGCCCAAGAAAAAGCAAAAAGACAAAAAAAAAAAAAAACCAAAAAAGACCUUGGUGCUGACUGUUGCUGCAGCCUAAAUGCAGCCCUCCUCUCAAUCCUCGACUGGCUCUUUCCCAUCCUCAGGUUUCAGUUCAAUUCUUUUAAUUUUUUAUCAAUUUGUUUCUUUUAUUUAUUUUUUGCUUUUUUGAGGGGCACCUGCAGCAUAUGGAAGUUUCCAGGCAAGGGGUCCAUUCGGAGCUGCAGCUGCUGGCCUACACCACAACAGCAGCAAUGCCAGAUCCUUAACCACUGAAAGAGGCCAGGGAUCGCACCCAAUCCUCAUGGAUAUCAGUUGGGUUCGUAACCCGCUGAGCCACAACGAGAACUCUCAGAUUUCAAUUCAAAUGACACCUCUGGGAGUUCUCUUAUGGUGCAGUGGGUUAGUUAAGGAUCCAGGGUUGUCAGUGCUGCCACUCGGAUCACUGAUGUGGCUUGGAUUCGAUCCCUGGCCCAAGAACUUCCACAUGCCCUGAGCACAGCCAAAACAAAGAAAUGCACUUCUUCAGUGAGUCCUUUCACCACCCUCUAAACCAGUAGCGCUGAUCCUACAGUCACUCUCUAUGUCAUCCCUCUUUUAUUUUCCUUGUAGCACUUAGCACUCUUUGAGAUAGUUUUCUUUACUUGGUGAACUUGUUCAGAGACUGUUUUACUAGAUAUGAGCUCCAGAAGUGUGCACGCCCUGUCUAUCCUGUUUGCUGCUCUGUGCAAACAGUAGUGCUUAGUACACAGUAGGCCUUCAGCAAUUACUAGAUAAAUGAGUGAAUGAAUGCCCGUAUGCAUUUUUUUUUUUUGUCUUUUCUUUUCUUUUUUUUUUGCUAUUUCUUGGGCCGCUCCCGCAGCAUAUGGAGGUUCCCAGGCUAGGGGUUGAAUCGGAGCUGUAGCCACCGGCCUACGCCAAAGCCACAGCAGCUCAGGAUCCGAGCCGCAUCUGCAACCUACACCACAGCUCACGGCAACGCUGGAUUGUUAACCCACUGAGCAAGGGCAGGGACCGAAUCCGAAACCUCAUGGUUCCUAGUCGGAUUCGUUAACCACUGCGCCACGACGGGAACUCCCCCGUAUGCAUUUUUGAAUCAUUUUCGGAUGUCUGUCAAGUCUGUAUGUUAAUGUGUGCUCAACUCAAAUAGGCCUUAUGUCAACUCUGGCUCCCUCCACUCUUCCCUGAGCUCUGGAGGGCAGGAACCAUGUCCAAUCCAUCAUUGCACCUUGGAGCAGUUCUGCAAGUGCACUGCCUACAGUGAAGGGCCAGAAUUUUAAAUUUCCAGUCCACUGCAGACUGGUACUUUUGAAAAAUACAGUAACAAUGUUAGGGAAAUGUCAGCUUGCUAGAAAACUUUCUGAAAGCUUAUUCUCGAUUUCUGUGCUUAUAGUGUCCUGAGCAGGUGAUGAACAGUUUACAGUUUGAGUCACACUGCCUUAGAGGUCCGCACAAUACAUGGUAGGUAGAUGUCAGUGUUUAGAACACUGACUUUUUCUUUCUUCCUCCCUCUCUUUCUUUUCUUCCUUCCCUUCCUUCCUUUCUUCUUUCACCACCCCACAACACAUGGAGUUCCCAAGCCAGGGAUCAGAUCUGAGCUGCAGUUGCAACCCAGGCCACAGCUUCGGCAAUGCAGGCUCCUUUAACCCACUGUGCCAGGGUGAGGAUCAAACCUGCAUUCCAGGGCUACAGAGAUGCUGCCCAUCCUGUUGCACCAUAGCAGGAACUCCUGCCUUGACCUCUUAGAAAACCAAGACAUCAUCUACAUGGGAUUAAAGACAAAGAAGGAGGGGAACAGGGGAACAGACUUCGUUUAUUGCAAAACAUCUAGUAAAUGCCAACUGUUAGAUUGAUGCUGUCCACUGGAAAUUUUUUUUUUUAAGGCCGCACCUGCUGCAUAUGAAGUUCCCAGGCUAGGGGCCCAAUCGGAGCUGUAGCUUCCGGCCUUUGCCACAGCCAUAGCAACUUGGGAUCUGAGCCACAAUGCAACUUACACCACAGCUCACGGCAACGCCAGAUCUUUAAUUCAUGGAGCAAGGCCGGGGAUCGAACCCACAUCCUCAUGGAUACUAGUCCAGUUCAUUACCGCUGAGCCACAACAGAACUCCUGCAACUUUUUGCGGCAAUGUAGAUGUUUUAUAACUGUGCUAUCCAAUAUGAUGGCCACUAGCCACAUGUGUCUGUUGAACACUUGUAAUGUGGCAAGUCAAGGAAUCAAAUUUUCUGUUUUUAUUUUAGUUAAUUUAAAUAGCCACAUAUAACUAUUAGCAAACACUUUUUUUUUUCUUUUUUGUAUGUACCUGCUGCAUGUGAAAGUUCCCAGACCAGGGAUCGAACCCACGUCACAGUUGCAGCCUUUGCCACAGCUAUGGCAAUGCCAGACCCUUAACCUACAAGGGAACUUCCUAAUGGCAAAUACUUUUGAUAGUGCAGUUAUAACAAGUUAUAUCUUUGAAAACAAAAUGCCUCCAUCUUUAGCACCUGAUAUCCAAUCAGUUUCCAAGAUGUGUCCGCUCUUCUGCCUAAAUGUUGGUCCAGUCAGACCUUUCUCCAUCCCCCAACUCAGUGGAUAGUAAUCCUGCUCAGAGUCAUGCAUCCUUGAUUUCUCCCUCUCCUUAAAUACUCCCUCUCCCUAAAUAUUCCCUCUGCAACCUCCAAUUUAUCACCACGUCCUCUCAGUAUUAUCUCUUAAGCACCUUACAGUCCCCUCUAAUUCUCCAUCUCUACCACCACCAUUACCUCUCACCUAGACAGUAGCCCCCAAACCAGCUUCCUUGCAUCAGGUCUUGCUCACCAUUCCCAGCCCCUAGUGCUCUUCGGAAAACCCUUGAGUGGCUCCCCAUUAUUUAUUAGGAUAAAGACAAACCUCUUCCUGAGCCUACAACCCCCUCCAUAGUCCUUGGUCUGGCCCUAUUCCUACUGCUGACUAGGUCAAACCCUUCCUUCCUUCCUUCCUUCUCACUCUCUUUCUCGCUUGCUUUCUUUCUUUUUUUUUUUUUUUUUUUUUUUUUUUUCAUUUUUUCAUAGAAGGCUGUCUUGAUCAAUGCAGUUCUUCUUUGAGCAUCAGGCAUAGUUUCUUUCUUUUUUUUUUUAGUUUUUAGGGCCGUACCUGUGGCAUAUGGAGGUUCCCAGGCUAGGGGUCAAAUCGGAGCUAGAGCUGCUGGCCUACAUCUCAGCCACAGCAAAGGCAGAACGGAACCGCAUCUGCAACCUACACCACAACUCACAGCAAUGCUGGAUCCUUAACCCACUGAGCAAGGCCAGGGAUCAAACCUGCAACCUCAUGGUUAUUAGUUGGAUUCGUUUCUGCUGCACCAUGAUGGGAACUCCAGGCACAGUUUCAACUUUACUUUCAUUUGUAUUGAGUUGAUUAAUGGUCUUCCACACUCCCCCAACUAGACUACCAGCUCUGUGAGGACCAAGAAUGGGCUGGUUUUGCUCAACAUUUUAUUCCCCUGCCUCACACCUGGUGAUGAUGUUCAAUAAAUAUUUGUUAUAACGGCAGUUUAGGGAGUUCCCUGGUGGCUCAGCAGGUUAAGCCAGCAUUGUCACUGCUGUAGCUCUGGUUACUGCUGUGGUGAAGAUUUGAUCCCUGGUCCAGAAAGCUCUGCAUGCCAAGGGCGUGGCCAAAAAAAAAAAAAAAAAAAA